Molecule: long non-coding RNA, 221 nt
Organism: Triticum aestivum (bread wheat)
Lineage: Eukaryota; Viridiplantae; Streptophyta; Magnoliopsida; Poales; Poaceae
Exons: 3
Source: RefSeq, a predicted model, not a curated record
GUGUGUGGACAGGGCCAAAGGACAAGAUGCUUCAAUCCGGCGAGGACAGAGCCAAAUGACCAAAGUUUGUUCAUCUGUUGCCAAGUUUGGUACCAUCCCGUGGGGAGGGCCAGGGACAAGCUGCUCCGAUCCGGCGAGGAUGCCCACCAUCUAUUGUUAAGGGCGUCCGUGGAAGGCCCAGUCCUGACUCUCCAGUGAGCCGACAUUUGAUCGCUAUUGAA